CUUUCCUCUGGGGUUGUCACGGAUUGGCCGGCUGGGCCCGAUAAGUCAAGUAGUCCAAAGAGCUCUUUCUUUGUAUAGGUUUCACAUCAGAUUAGUCAUUCCUUCUGGAUUACCUAAAAAGGAGGCCUACUUCAUGAAAUUCAGUUAAGUAAAGUCAGGUCAGUCAAAUAACUAAUCAUAAAUAGAUUUGCAAAACAGCAAGUAAUGUAUAAUUACAGAAAUAGGAAGGUAGGUUCUUCUAUGUCUCUGGAGCCUAUUUUCUUGGAUUUGAUCUUGCCGUGGAUCCCCCCUGAGCGGAAAGACAUGAUCUACCCAUUAAAUAAGAGUUUUGAUCCAGCCACAGACCAGACCAGGCUAUCGAAAGCUCAUGUGACUCACUAUAGGUUGGGGUUUCAAAUACCUAGCAUGUUCAUAAUCACUCUAGGCCCCUGACUUAUGUCUCGAGUGCUCCGCUUCGCCCCAGAAGUUAACUAACCAUAAGAGCGGUCCCUAUGUUAACCUUGGGAGUUUUGAAUGCGCGGUCACAAGAAGACAGGCAGAAUUCAGAAAAUAGUGGCAAGGUCAAUGGUACCAAGCACAGAUGUUAGUUUAGGAUAGAUAAGUGAGUUGGUCUCGAUGAGAGCCCAGGCUCGUGUGUGAUAAGCCCAACCGGGAAAGGGAAGUAGAUAAACUCAAUAGUAGAUCAGGGAAGUAGAUCAAUUCAAUAGUCGAUCGUAGUGAAAUCCAUAUGUCCGGCUUUAGGGCUGUUAUCGGUAUAGAGAGGGCCAGGCCACUUAAGAAGGAAGGAAUCCAAGCAAGCAAUAAAUAGU
Molecule: long non-coding RNA, 809 nt
Filed under: Musa acuminata (dwarf banana)
Lineage: Eukaryota; Viridiplantae; Streptophyta; Magnoliopsida; Zingiberales; Musaceae
Description: long non-coding RNA (MACU_LNC007824)
Source: RNAcentral